UGUUGAUGCACUUUUGGCAGCAAUUACAGCCUCAAGUCUUCUUGGGUAUGAUGCUACAAGCUUUGCACAACUGUAUUUGGGGAGUUUCUCCCAUUCUUUUCUGCAGAUCCUCUCAAGCUCUGUCAGCUUGGAUGGGGAGUGAUACUGCACAGCUAUUUUCAGGUCUCUCCAAAAAUGAUCAAUGGAAACAGACUUGCCCCGAAACCACUCCUGCAUUGUCUUGACAGUGUGUGUUUAGGGUCGUUGUCCUGGUGGAAUGUGAACCUUAGUCCCAGUCUGAGGUCCUGAGCAGGUUUUCAUCAAGGAUCUCUCUGUACCUUUCAUCUUUCCCUCAAUUCUGACUAGUCUUCCAGUCCCUGCCUAUGAAAAACAUUCACACAGCAUGAUGCUGCCACCACCAUGCUUCACCGUAGGGAUGGUGCCAGAUUGCCUCCAGACGUGAUGCUUGGCAUUCAGUGACAAAAGGGGUGGACGGCACAAGGACUAGUUUGCCUCUAUUUUGUUUAGACAGUGCUGUUUGGCUUUGCCUCUCAGCCUGCUUCUCAAAUACAAACCUGACCACAGGCCCAAACAACACAGAACAGGAAGACCCUGCUGCAGAACAGAGUCUAUAGUCUUCAUAGACGACACCACCACUUCCUCAGCAAAUAAUGAGUGAGACCCUGCUGCAGAACAGAGUCUAUAGUCUUCAUAGACGACACCACCACUUCCUCAGCAAAUAAUGAGUGGCCAUGGCAUGCUGUGAACUUUUAUCUGCUAACUGUUUUAUAUGUUUGGGAUCAAGAUGGUUAUUAGUGAUUCCAGCUUGCUUACAGCGCUCAGAGAGGACCAUAGACAAAAAAAAACAUUCAAGCUGUCAAAAUUCUUCAUAAAACAUAACUAUUGUUAAGCUUCCCACCACACACCUAACAUUCCUCAGAAAAUAAAUGAUCUUCUUUGACCCAGAACAUAUUUUAGGGCAAAAUGCAAUGCACUGUUUAAACAGAGAUUAUCACAACGUUCAAAAUGACAAAAUAUUGUCUUGUUUUAUAUCAUGAUGGAAAAGCAUGAAGUUUUCCUACAAAAUGUUUUCUAAUCAUAACGCUAGAGCAUUCUCCAAUUUUAAGUUCAGAUCGCCCAUUUUAAAUCACUCUUUACAUUACGCUUGUUUUAUGAAAAAAGACUACAGAUGUUUCAUACAGAUGCUUCUUAACUUGCCUUAUAUUACAUUAGAUUAAUACAUUUGCCUUUAAACAUGGACAAGCUUGGGAUUUAUCCACAAAUCGAGUCUAUUGAUAUAGAUAAGGGAUAAGAUGAGAGUUGAAGAGUGAAGUUCUCGUUUAUAACACGUGACAAAUAAAAAUGUGAUUGAUGAACAAACUUGGCUCUUUGCAGCUACUUAGUUUUUUUCCACCUCUGUCUUGUUACGCUGUCUUCGUGUGUGCUUGGACAGCUCUGACGAGGACAUAUAACAUCAUCAUGGCCCAUGAUUGGUGACUCUGCAUUGGCAUUAUGACUAUGUUCAGAAUUGUAUGUGUUGAUCAGACAUGUAUUUGAUCAUUUAAAAAUAGGCCAGCAUAGUCAAAAUAUUGAGAAAUAACAGUGAAACAUGACAUAAAAAAAAUAUAUUAGAGCAGUAAGCCUAAUAUAGGCACCUGGCCCGGCCUACACUGUGCAGGACUCCAUUGAUUCAUACAAUUUGUCAAACUAAUUUCCCAUCCAAAUGCAAAAACAUAUAAAAAGUGACAAAAUGGGAUAUCACAUGAAUUACUUAAACUUUAGGAAAUGCAACCAACUACAGAGAUUGAUGGGGAGGGGAGUGGGAGAGGCACCCAUAAACCCCACUUCAAUCAAGCAGGCUUCAGUCACCCACUUUUGCUUCAGUCAUC
Molecule: long non-coding RNA, 1868 nt
Organism: Oncorhynchus tshawytscha (Chinook salmon)
Lineage: Eukaryota; Metazoa; Chordata; Actinopteri; Salmoniformes; Salmonidae
Source: Ensembl